CCAACCAAUGCUGGAGCUGCUUUUUGCCUAACAGGAGAAAAUUACAAACCCAGAGAAAGGAGAAGGAUCAUCUGUCCUAUCAGUUUCCCUGCAUAACUCCUGCAAGUCGCUUCUGACAAUGCAAUGCAGAAUGGAAAAGGGAGCACAGAAGUGGCCUGCCCAUUGCAAUAGGGAAACAAAAUUAGAACUUUUGCUCCCAUCUCUCAGAUGACUCCUGAAAAUACUUUGUAUGAUUUCCAGACUCUACUUUAAGCAAGCAGAUACCUGGAGAAUGACAGAGGACACCGAAGCAACAAAAAUGAUAAAUGUCAAGUAAAAAACCUAAAGAAGGUGUGAGUGAUUUUCCAUGCAGGCCAAAUAGGAUGGCAUUGGAAGUCCUAAAUUUUAGAAACACACCUCUACUGUAAAAUAGAUAUUGAAAUAAUUAUAGAAUAAUCUGUAUUAUAUGACAUGUUAACACUUUUAAAGGUUGGGGUUUUUUUAUUCUUGGUGGUGUGCAUUCCUGUUGGAUUGCUUCAGAAGUGCAAAAUAUAUUUAUUUAGCCAGAAAGACUCCUGAUAAUUGUUCAAUGGCUCUUGCUGUGCUGGAGAGAUUUUGAAUUUUUAUUGUUGCUCUGAAUGCAAGGCACUUCUGAUUCAUUUAACAUUGUUUGGACAUCUGUGAAGAGAAAUAAAGUGGCACAACAUUGUUUUCCUAUGCUGCUUUUCAAGUGACGUAAUUGCUUCAAAUAUUGUCUGAGAUACCCACUGAGACAAUCAGGAGACUUAAUUUUAAAUGAAGCAAUAUGUAUCCCAAUACCGAAAGCCAAAUUGUGCACUACAAAGUGAUGGAGGAAGUAUUGGAAUAGAGAUCCCUGCUAAGCACUAUGUUAUGUACUUACUUGCCAGCCAGAGGUUACAUAUUUUGAGAUAACUGCCAAUUUUUAUGUCAGAUAUACUAGACAUUGCCUUAAUUCUGUAAAUUCCCUUUACAAAUAACAGCAGAGAUAUUUGUGUGCCAAUUGAUUGCUCUUUCAAUCUUUCAUAGAAGAUGCACUUGUUAUCAUGAACAACAUGCAGUUAUUCCUUCCGAGACACCAUUUGUAGGUUGAUUGCCUCCUUAAUGUCAUGAAGCAGUCUUUUGAUUAAAGAGAGAAAUGAGAAAUUUUAUGCUACUUCCUAAUUUUACACCUCUCAGUGUAAAUGUGUGUCUUAGCCUUACUCUUCAUUCAGAAUAACUGCUAAUUUCCCCAAACACAAGCUUCACCUCUGAGGUUGAUCCCCCGGCCCACUUGUCCAGAGGCAGACCUUGUUUUUUCCUUUAUCCAGGCUGGCCCACAAAAUAUCAGGUCUGUCCUUCACAGCCUUCUUUCUCCCUCAUACAAAUGCUCUUGUCCCAUUUGCCUCACAAAACCAAAACCAAAACCAAAACUGUGUGCUUGGACCAGACUGUAACAGGGUAGUUUGCCUCCUAGCAUCGUGGCAGGAGCUGUUCAGUUCACAAAAUCAUCAGGUCCAAGGCAGAGGUUGGGAUUCCUAUGCCGAGGCAGGAGGAGGGGAGAUGUGCUCGUGUUUCAUGAGUUAGUUUGGGACCUGUGGCAUGGCUUAAAGUGAGCUCUUGUAAGCUUUGUACUGGAAUUAGCAGUGCCCUUGUAAACAAGGAAGUCUCUGACACUCUCAGAAGAAAUUCACUAGCAUAGAUGCAAAGGCUUGCUGAUGAAAUACUGUAAAGCUGAUUUACAUCUUGCAUGUCCUUUACACUUGAGCUUGCCCUGUCACUUAAGGGUCCCCUAGCAAAGUUCAGAGCUUUCUGGGAAGAAAAAGGCUCAGGGCCCAGGAGGGAACUUUGUGAUUUUCAUAGAAAUAAUGGGAGGAAACUAAACCAGAAUCUACAUCUUACCUUCUGGAGUUGUUAUGCAGAGGAAAAAAUCUUGAGGGGCAUUUUUGAUUAUUUCUAAUUUUCAUGAUUCUUGGCAGUUCUAAAACACAAACUAAAGGUUUUGUAUUCACAGCAUGGGAUGGAUGUAUCCAUUUUCCCUAAUAUCCUGUCACCAAGCAGACAAAAGCAGAUGCUUGGAAGAAGUAAAAAAGAAAAGGUCAAAAAUAUAAUGAUGUUUCCUUAGAAUAUUUUUCUGGCCCCAGGGACUCCUUGAGUCUGAGAUGGUGUCUUUGUAAUUAAUAACCCUCAUUUUUUUCUUUUGAUUUUUUUUUUUUAGUCAUCUUUUGAACUCAUGUAGAUGCUUUGCAUUUGAAAAAAACUGUAUUUACCUGCGCAAUGUGAAAAAUCAAUUUCUUUCAUUUUCUCUGAGUCUGCCAUCUGCUACUGCUGUUAACUUGUAGUUCUUGCUUUGCCAGAGACUGUGAGCAGCCAUUCCCAAGGUACCUCUCUGUGCAUUUUUUUUAAUGUGGCACUUUUCCCUACUCCUCACUCCCAGCUAAUGUCUACUUAUUAAAGGUCCCAUAUUUUCAAAAAUAGUUCCAGCUUUUGAAUAUUUUUGAUAUAAUAUUUUUAAUAGUACAGUUUUGAAUAUGCCUGUCACACUGCUCGUGAUCUUUCCCAGUUAUAUUCUGCAUUUUCUGAGAUUGGGGGAAGAUAACUGCCCACGACAGUUCAAGAUGUGACUGAACCAUGGAUUUAUGCAGCUGGGUAAUGAGAUUCUCUGCUUGUUUCAAAGGCUGUUCUAUCUUAAAACUGAUUAUCCAGUGUAGCCCUGCAGCUCCUGUGUGCAUAUUGUUUGGAGACCUGUAAUUAUGUGAGAGUCUCAGCUUGCAUUUAUGAAUUGCAUAAACAAGUUUCUGUUUUCUGUGACUAGAGAAAAAUUCUGCAGGAAGUAAAAUCUGUAACUUUGAAAUCGGGACCUAAGAGAAAAAUAAAGGUGCAUUAUUUGGGAAGGAGGGAUUA
Molecule: long non-coding RNA, 2880 nt
Organism: Corvus hawaiiensis (hawaiian crow)
Lineage: Eukaryota; Metazoa; Chordata; Aves; Passeriformes; Corvidae
Exons: 3
Source: RefSeq, a predicted model, not a curated record